Molecule: ribosomal RNA, 510 nt
Filed under: Catopsilia pomona (lemon migrant)
Lineage: Eukaryota; Metazoa; Arthropoda; Insecta; Lepidoptera; Pieridae
Description: partial 16S ribosomal RNA
Rfam family: Bacterial large subunit ribosomal RNA (bases 386-510)
Source: RNAcentral
GUUUUUUUGAAAAUAAUAUAAAGUUUAAUUUGCCCCCUGAAUUAAUUUAAAGGGCUGCAGUAUAUUGACUGUACAAAGGUAGCAUAAUCAAUAGUCUUUUAAUUGAAGACUUGUAUGAAUGAUUUGAUGAAAUAUAAACUGUCUCUUUUUUAAAAUUAAAAUUUAAUUUUUUAGUUAAAAAGCUAAAAUAAAUAUAAAAGACGAGAAGACCCUAUAGAGUUUUAUAAUUAUUUUUAUUUAUUUUAUAUAUUAAUAUUAAAAAUUAAAUGUAAAUAAUUAUUUUGUUGGGGUGAUAGAAAAAUUUAAUUAACUUUUUUUUAAAUUUAACAUUAAUAUAUGAAUAUAUGAUCCAUAUUUUAUGAUUAAAAGAAUAAAUUACCUUAGGGAUAACAGCGUAAUUUUUUUUUUUAGUUCAUAUAAAAAAAAGAGUUUGCGACCUCGAUGUUGGAUUAAAAUAAAAUUUAAAUGCAAAAGUUUAAAAUUUUUGAUCUGUUCGAUCAUUAAAAUCUU